RNAcentral lists this unclassified non-coding RNA (265 nucleotides) under Sipha flava (yellow sugarcane aphid). RNAcentral's name for it is "glutathione S-transferase-like, transcript variant X6". Lineage: Eukaryota; Metazoa; Arthropoda; Insecta; Hemiptera; Aphididae. The record is from RNAcentral.
UCACCGCGAAAUAACAGCAGUACUCCGUCACACGUGGACUGCAACCUCAAUAUUCAACUGUUUUCGUUUUCGUAGUAACCAUAUUACAUAAACAAUAUAUCAUCAUGUCAUCGUAUAAACUAACAUACUUCAACGUAACUGGAUUGGGCGAACCUAUUAGAUUCUUGCUGUCCUACUUGAACAUUGAUUUCGAAGAUGUUCGUUUUGAACUUGAACAAUGGCCAUCGAUCAAACGUAGUAAGUAACCAUAAAUACCAAUUUGUAA